Molecule: long non-coding RNA, 253 nt
Organism: Hippocampus zosterae (dwarf seahorse)
Lineage: Eukaryota; Metazoa; Chordata; Actinopteri; Syngnathiformes; Syngnathidae
Exons: 2
Source: RefSeq, a predicted model, not a curated record
GGCAGCAAAACAUGUUUCACUAUUAGACAAGGCUAUGGUCUGACUAUAUAUAUAUAUAUAUUAUAUAUAUAUGAAAAAACAAAUGAUAGGAAAUGUAAAUGGGACUAAAUAAGUUGUAAAUAAAUAUAUCUGUAGUUAUAAUACAGUACCUGUUUAAAUAUGAACUCUGCGAUUAAAUUCCUUUUUUUGUAAGGACAGCUAUCAAUUAACAUUUUAGAAAGAUGGGAAACCGUUUUGGAGGUACAAUAGGCUA